GGAAUGAGCUAUACCUUGCUGCGUGCCACCAGAAUGUGCUAUGAUGAAUUCUCUCCAAGAUCAGGGACCACCUUCAAGCAGUCCUGAAAAAUGACACCCAAAACCAGGUGAACUAACUUGGCAAGAACAAAUUCUCUUCAAGUUCUCACCUUUCUACCCCAAUUUUAAGAUACACAUCUCCCUCUUCCCCAAAUACCACUUGAAAAAAUUUCUAAUACCUGGAUUUAUCAUACAAUCAAGAGAGGCACAGCAAGAGAGGGAACACAAGCAAUGGGAGUGAGAGAGGGAAAAGCAGGCUUCCCACUGAGCAGGGAGCCUGAUGUGGGACUUGAUCCCAGGACCCUGGAACCUGAGCUGAAGUCACGCUGAGAAAAUGAAACUUUCUACUUCUACCAACUGUAUCCCAUAGAAAACAGUAAGAUGAAGAAAUAAAGUUUGCUAGAUUUAUCACCAGA
RNAcentral lists this long non-coding RNA (455 nucleotides) under Mustela putorius furo (domestic ferret). Its description in RNAcentral is "lncRNA (ENSMPUG00000027399.1)". The record is from RNAcentral. Lineage: Eukaryota; Metazoa; Chordata; Mammalia; Carnivora; Mustelidae.